CUGUCUUAUAUAUAUUAUAUUGAAUUUGACUUUUAAGUGAAAAGGCUUAAAUAAAAUAAAGGGAAGAUAAGACCCUAUAAAACUUAAUAUAAUUUAUAUUAUUUUUUAAAAUUAUUAGUUUAUUAUAUAAAAUAAUGUAAUAUUAUUUUAUUGGGGCGAUAGGAAUAUAAAAUAUUAACUGUUCUUUUUUAUUAAUCAAUUAAUAAUUGAUUAAAUAGAUCCUUUUUUAAAGAUUAAAAGUUAAAGUUACUUUAGGGAUAACAGCGUAAUUUUUUUUAAGAGUUCUUAUCGAUAAAAAAGAUUGCGACCUCGAUGUUGAAUUAAAAUUUCUUUAUAAUGUAGCAGUUAUAUAAGAAGGUCUGUUCGACCUUUAAAUUUUUA
Molecule: ribosomal RNA, 381 nt
Filed under: Spongiocaris panglao
Lineage: Eukaryota; Metazoa; Arthropoda; Malacostraca; Decapoda; Spongicolidae
Description: partial 16S ribosomal RNA
Rfam family: Bacterial large subunit ribosomal RNA (bases 257-381)
Source: RNAcentral